GGUUAAGCGACUAAGCGUACACGGUGGAUGCCCUGGCAGUCAGAGGCGAUGAAGGACGUGCUAAUCUGCGAUAAGCGUCGGUAAGGUGAUAUGAACCGUUAUAACCGGCGAUUUCCGAAUGGGGAAACCCAGUGUGAUUCGUCACACUAUCAUUAACUGAAUCCAUAGGUUAAUGAGGCGAACCGGGGGAACUGAAACAUCUAAGUACCCCGAGGAAAAGAAAUCAACCGAGAUUCCCCCAGUAGCGGCGAGCGAACGGGGAGCAGCCCAGAGCCUGAAUCAGUGUGUGUGUUAGUGGAAGCGUCUGGAAAGGCGCGCGAUACAGGGUGACAGCCCCGUACACAAAAAUGCACAUGCUGUGAGCUCGAUGAGUAGGGCGGGACACGUGGUAUCCUGUCUGAAUAUGGGGGGACCAUCCUCCAAGGCUAAAUACUCCUGACUGACCGAUAGUGAACCAGUACCGUGAGGGAAAGGCGAAAAGAACCCCGGCGAGGGGAGUGAAAAAGAACCUGAAACCGUGUACGUACAAGCAGUGGGAGCACGCUUAGGCGUGUGACUGCGUACCUUUUGUAUAAUGGGUCAGCGACUUAUAUUCUGUAGCAAGGUUAACCGAAUAGGGGAGCCGAAGGGAAACCGAGUCUUAACUGGGCGUUAAGUUGCAGGGUAUAGACCCGAAACCCGGUGAUCUAGCCAUGGGCAGGUUGAAGGUUGGGUAACACUAACUGGAGGACCGAACCGACUAAUGUUGAAAAAUUAGCGGAUGACUUGUGGCUGGGGGUGAAAGGCCAAUCAAACCGGGAGAUAGCUGGUUCUCCCCGAAAGCUAUUUAGGUAGCGCCUCGUGAAUUCAUCUCCGGGGGUAGAGCACUGUUUCGGCAAGGGGGUCAUCCCGACUUACCAACCCGAUGCAAACUGCGAAUACCGGAGAAUGUUAUCACGGGAGACACACGGCGGGUGCUAACGUCCGUCGUGAAGAGGGAAACAACCCAGACCGCCAGCUAAGGUCCCAAAGUCAUGGUUAAGUGGGAAACGAUGUGGGAAGGCCCAGACAGCCAGGAUGUUGGCUUAGAAGCAGCCAUCAUUUAAAGAAAGCGUAAUAGCUCACUGGUCGAGUCGGCCUGCGCGGAAGAUGUAACGGGGCUAAACCAUGCACCGAAGCUGCGGCAGCGACGCUUAUGCGUUGUUGGGUAGGGGAGCGUUCUGUAAGCCUGUGAAGGUGUACUGUGAGGUAUGCUGGAGGUAUCAGAAGUGCGAAUGCUGACAUAAGUAACGAUAAAGCGGGUGAAAAGCCCGCUCGCCGGAAGACCAAGGGUUCCUGUCCAACGUUAAUCGGGGCAGGGUGAGUCGACCCCUAAGGCGAGGCCGAAAGGCGUAGUCGAUGGGAAACAGGUUAAUAUUCCUGUACUUGGUGUUACUGCGAAGGGGGGACGGAGAAGGCUAUGUUGGCCGGGCGACGGUUGUCCCGGUUUAAGCGUGUAGGCUGGUUUUCCAGGCAAAUCCGGAAAAUCAAGGCCGAGGCGUGAUGACGAGGCACUACGGUGCUGAAGCAACAAAUGCCCUGCUUCCAGGAAAAGCCUCUAAGCAUCAGGUAACAUCAAAUCGUACCCCAAACCGACACAGGUGGUCAGGUAGAGAAUACCAAGGCGCUUGAGAGAACUCGGGUGAAGGAACUAGGCAAAAUGGUGCCGUAACUUCGGGAGAAGGCACGCUGAUACGUAGGUGAAGCGACUUGCUCGUGGAGCUGAAAUCAGUCGAAGAUACCAGCUGGCUGCAACUGUUUAUUAAAAACACAGCACUGUGCAAACACGAAAGUGGACGUAUACGGUGUGACGCCUGCCCGGUGCCGGAAGGUUAAUUGAUGGGGUUAGCGCAAGCGAAGCUCUUGAUCGAAGCCCCGGUAAACGGCGGCCGUAACUAUAACGGUCCUAAGGUAGCGAAAUUCCUUGUCGGGUAAGUUCCGACCUGCACGAAUGGCGUAAUGAUGGCCAGGCUGUCUCCACCCGAGACUCAGUGAAAUUGAACUCGCUGUGAAGAUGCAGUGUACCCGCGGCAAGACGGAAAGACCCCGUGAACCUUUACUAUAGCUUGACACUGAACAUUGAGCCUUGAUGUGUAGGAUAGGUGGGAGGCUUUGAAGUGUGGACGCCAGUCUGCAUGGAGCCGACCUUGAAAUACCACCCUUUAAUGUUUGAUGUUCUAACGUGGACCCGUGAUCCGGGUUGCGGACAGUGUCUGGUGGGUAGUUUGACUGGGGCGGUCUCCUCCUAAAGAGUAACGGAGGAGCACGAAGGUUGGCUAAUCCUGGUCGGACAUCAGGAGGUUAGUGCAAUGGCAUAAGCCAGCUUGACUGCGAGCGUGACGGCGCGAGCAGGUGCGAAAGCAGGUCAUAGUGAUCCGGUGGUUCUGAAUGGAAGGGCCAUCGCUCAACGGAUAAAAGGUACUCCGGGGAUAACAGGCUGAUACCGCCCAAGAGUUCAUAUCGACGGCGGUGUUUGGCACCUCGAUGUCGGCUCAUCACAUCCUGGGGCUGAAGUAGGUCCCAAGGGUAUGGCUGUUCGCCAUUUAAAGUGGUACGCGAGCUGGGUUUAGAACGUCGUGAGACAGUUCGGUCCCUAUCUGCCGUGGGCGCUGGAGAACUGAGGGGGGCUGCUCCUAGUACGAGAGGACCGGAGUGGACGCAUCACUGGUGUUCGGGUUGUCAUGCCAAUGGCACUGCCCGGUAGCUAAAUGCGGAAGAGAUAAGUGCUGAAAGCAUCUAAGCACGAAACUUGCCCCGAGAUGAGUUCUCCCUGACCCUUUAAGGGUCCUGAAGGAACGUUGAAGACGACGACGUUGAUAGGCCGGGUGUGUAAGCGCAGCGAUGCGUUGAGCUAACCGGUACUAAUGAACCGUGAGGCUUAACCUU
Molecule: ribosomal RNA, 2904 nt
Filed under: Escherichia coli
Lineage: Bacteria; Pseudomonadati; Pseudomonadota; Gammaproteobacteria; Enterobacterales; Enterobacteriaceae
Also listed under: 1 other name
Description: 23S ribosomal RNA
Rfam family: Bacterial large subunit ribosomal RNA
Source: RNAcentral